RNAcentral lists this long non-coding RNA (230 nucleotides) under Panax ginseng (ginseng). Its description in RNAcentral is "long non-coding RNA (PGIN_LNC016424)". Lineage: Eukaryota; Viridiplantae; Streptophyta; Magnoliopsida; Apiales; Araliaceae. The record is from RNAcentral.
ACGAGAGUGGUUUUGCCGACGCCGCGAGGGCCGUGGAGAAUGAGGGGUUGAGGAACACGGUGGUGGUGGGCGUGGUUGUUAAGGAUUGUUUCGAGGAGUGGCCUUGGUAUUAUUCUCCAUACCUUGUUCACCAUUUCUUUGAUUUGAUGCCUUCCUUCCUUCCUUCCUUCACCUUAUACUUGUUCGGCUCUUUGCCCUGUCUCAAACUGCGAUGAGUAGGCGAAGCCACG